AACGAACGCUGGCGGCAUGCCUAACACAUGCAAGUCGAACGACACCUCCGGGUCUAGUGGCGCACGGGUGCGUCACGCGUCGGAACCUUCCCUUAGGUUCGGAAUAACUCCCCGAAAGGGGUGCUAAUACCGGAUAAUGUCUUCUGACCAAAGAUUUAUCGCCUUUGGAUGGGCCCGCGUUGGAUUAGCUAGUUGGUAUGGUAAAAGCCUAUCACGGCGACGAUCCAUAGCUGGUCUGAGAGGAUGAGCAGCCACACUGGGACUGAGACACGGCCCAGACUCCUACGGGAGGGAGGAGUGGGGAAUAUUGGACAAUGGGGGAAAGGCUGAUCCAGCAAUGCCGGGAGAGUGAUGAAGGCGUGAGGGUUGUAAAGCUGUUUUAGCCGGGAUGAUAAUGACAGUACCGGGAGAAUAAGCACCGGCUAACUCCGUG
Molecule: ribosomal RNA, 433 nt
Filed under: uncultured bacterium
Lineage: Bacteria
Description: partial 16S ribosomal RNA
Rfam family: Bacterial small subunit ribosomal RNA
Source: RNAcentral